AGCACGGGAGCAAUCCUGGUGGCGAGUGGCGAACGGGUGAGUAAUAUAUCGGAACGUGCCCAGUCGUGGGGGAUAACGCAGCGAAAGCUGUGCUAAUACCGCAUACGAUCUCUGGAUGAAAGCGGGGGACCGCAAGGCCUCGCGCGAUUGGAGCGGCCGAUAUCAGAUUAGCUAGUUGGCGGGGUAAAAGCCCACCAAGGCGACGAUCUGUAGCUGGUCUGAGAGGACGACCAGCCACACUGGAACUGAGACACGGUCCAGACUCCUACGGGAGGCAGCAGUGGGGAAUUUUGGACAAUGGGCGCAAGCCUGAUCCAGCAAUGCCGCGUGCAGGAUGAAGGCCUUCGGGUUGUAAACUGCUUUUGUACGGAACGAAACGGUCCUUUCUAAUACAAGGGGCUAAUGACGGUACCGUAAGAAUAAGCACCGGCUAACUACGUGCCAGCAGCCGCGGUAAUACGUAGGGUGCGAGCGUUAAUCGGAAUUACUGGGCGUAAAGCGUGCGCAGGCGGUUAUAUAAGACAGAUGUGAAAUCCCCGGGCUCAACCUGGGACCUGCAUUUGUGACUGUAUAGCUAGAGUACGGUAGAGGGGGAUGGAAUUCCGCGUGUAGCAGUGAAAUGCGUAGAUAUGCGGAGGAACACCGAUGGCGAAGGCAAUCCCCUGGACCUGUACUGACGCUCAUGCACGAAAGCGUGGGGAGCAAACAGGAUUAGAUACCCUGGUAGUCCACGCCCUAAACGAUGUCAACUGGUUGUUGGGUCUUCACUGACUCAGUAACGAAGCUAACGCGUGAAAGUGACCGCCUGGGGAGUACG
RNAcentral lists this ribosomal RNA (817 nucleotides) under uncultured bacterium. Its description in RNAcentral is "bacterial SSU rRNA". It matches the Rfam family "Bacterial small subunit ribosomal RNA", at positions 71 to 884 of the family's 1533-position model. The record is from RNAcentral.